This 356-nucleotide ribosomal RNA is filed under the name uncultured organism. RNAcentral's name for it is "bacterial LSU rRNA". It matches the Rfam family "Bacterial large subunit ribosomal RNA", at positions 2099 to 2465 of the family's 2925-position model. The record is from RNAcentral.
CUUUACUCUAGCUUGGCACUGAGUCGUACAUAUAUUUGUGCAGGAUAGGCGGGAGACUAUGAAAGAUGGACGCCAGUUCAUCUCGAGUCGUCGUUGAGAUACCACCCUUGUAUAUGUAUGCCUCUAACCCCUUUUUGGGGGACCGUGCUUGGUGGGGAGUUUAACUGGGGCGGUUGCCUCCUAAAACGUAACGGAGGCGCACAAAGGUAGGCUAGGUCCGGAUGGAAAUCGGACUGGUCGUGUAUUCGCACAAGCCUGCUUGACUGAGAGACCUACAAGUCGAUCAGAGACGAAAGUCGGUGAAAGUGAUCCGGCACCAACAUGUGGGAGUGGUGUCGCUCAACGGAUAAAAGUUA